RNAcentral lists this ribosomal RNA (370 nucleotides) under uncultured organism. Its description in RNAcentral is "bacterial SSU rRNA". It matches the Rfam family "Bacterial small subunit ribosomal RNA", at positions 526 to 896 of the family's 1533-position model. The record is from RNAcentral.
CGUAGGGUGCAAGCGUUAAUCGGAAUUACUGGGCGUAAAGCGUGCGCAGGCGGUUAUGUAAGACAGAGGUGAAAUCCCCGGGCUCAACCUGGGAACUGCCUUUGUGACUGCAUAGCUAGAGUACGGCAGAGGGGGAUGGAAUUCCGCGUGUAGCAGUGAAAUGCGUAGAUAUGCGGAGGAACACCGAUGGCGAAGGCAAUCCCCUGGACCUGUACUGACGCUCAUGCACGAAAGCGUGGGGAGCAAACAGGAUUAGAUACCCUGGUAGUCCACGCCCUAAACGAUGUCAACUGGUUGUUGGGUCUUUACUGACUCAGUAACGAAGCUAACGCGUGAAGUUGACCGCCUGGGGAGUACGGCCGCAAGGUUG